UGAGGAAUAUUGGUCAAUGGAGGCAACUCUGAACCAGCCAUGCCGCGUGCAGGAAGACGGCCCUAUGGGUUGUAAACUGCUUUUAUACAGGGCGAAUUCUCUUACGCGCUAAGAGGUUGACGGUACUGUAUGAAUAAGCACCGGCUAACUCCGUGCCAGCAGCCGCGGUAAUACGGAGGGUGCAAGCGUUAUCCGGAUUCAUUGGGUUUAAAGGGUGCGUAGGCGGUAUAUUAAGUCAGUGGUGAAACUAUCGAGCUCAACUCGAUACCUGCCAUUGAUACUGAUAGACUUGAGUAGUAUCGACGCGGGAGGAAUGCGACAAGUAGCGGUGAAAUGCUUAGAUAUGUCGCAGAACACCGAUAGCGAAGGCAUCUCGCGAGGUAUUUACUGACGCUGAGGCACGAAAGCGUGGGGAUCAAACA
Molecule: ribosomal RNA, 422 nt
Filed under: uncultured prokaryote
Description: bacterial SSU rRNA
Rfam family: Bacterial small subunit ribosomal RNA
Source: RNAcentral